RNAcentral lists this long non-coding RNA (1007 nucleotides) under Pogona vitticeps (central bearded dragon). RNAcentral's name for it is "lncRNA (ENSPVIG00000006922.1)". The record is from RNAcentral. Lineage: Eukaryota; Metazoa; Chordata; Lepidosauria; Squamata; Agamidae.
ACAGUGGUUUGUGUUUGGCCAAACAGGCAUUCAGCAGGUCUUCUGGCAGGCGUCCAUUCAGAAGCAGUGCCCAUAGGAGGUGGGAAAGGGAAACGGAGGCACACCCAAGCCCUGUUUGUCUGAAGGUCAAACCAGCAUAAACUGCUGAACUGGCCGUUUCAUGCCUGUUUCUGCUCACAGAUUCACGGAGAUCUUAUGUCUUAUCUGUAAUUUCUCUCUCUCUCUUUUUAAUCUUUGGGAACUUCAUUUUCUCUCUGUAUGCAGCAAAGAACACCGUGUCCGGACAUUUAGAGGAGGUGUUAGUGACAAGCUUAUUUUUUUUUAACUGCCAGCCUAUCUGGACACAUAGUUCUUCAACUACCAGUGGAUGUCCCACAAUUUGGUUGUUUGUUUCCCUCUCCCCCCCCUUGCCAUUCCCUGCUUAUCAUCACCGUUCUUCUGAGAGAUAUAAAUAAAGGGUUUUGGAAGUCUCAUUUCUGCCACCCUUGGAAAAGGAAAGGCCCUAUUGGAUCCAGUUUUUUAAGCCAUGAAGACCUUCCUCCUCCAUCUUCUUUGUUUGAUGUUAACCAUGUUGACUUUCUCAGAGUCGACCCACCGGCCCCCUCGGCAAUGCCAUGGCACUUGCAAGGCUGUCUGUUCAAGUAGGGAAUACAAGUCUCUGUCAAAAACGUGCCGCAUUCCUGGAUGGUCCUAUUGCUGCAAACGGAAAGGAUAUUUAGUUCCUGUGAAACCAGAUUGUAUUGGUACAUGCAAGCUCAGAUGUUCGCGAGAUGAAUAUGAAGUCACAAAAAUGAUCUGCCAAUAUUUUGACCAUGUCUAUUGCUGCAAACGAAGAGGCUAUAAGAAAAUAUAUUAGGGGAGAGAAUCCUGCCACUCCUGCAAGACGGAAUUCACUUUCUUCAUCAAUUGUGUGGGUUAGUGCUUUAGAAGAAGCGUUUGAACUCCCAAAAACAGCUUCCUGUUUUUAUAGCAAUGCCCUUUGACCUUCUGCUCUUAAUAAAAGCCAA